Molecule: non-coding RNA, 46 nt
Organism: Monodelphis domestica (gray short-tailed opossum)
Lineage: Eukaryota; Metazoa; Chordata; Mammalia; Didelphimorphia; Didelphidae
Source: Rfam
GGAAAAGUUUUUUUAAAAACUACCAACAGUGAGAAAAAAAUGAUUU